Molecule: non-coding RNA, 170 nt
Organism: Triticum aestivum (bread wheat)
Lineage: Eukaryota; Viridiplantae; Streptophyta; Magnoliopsida; Poales; Poaceae
Source: Rfam
UACGUACUCCCUCCGUCCCAAAAUUCUUGUCUUACAUUUGUUUAGAUAUGGAUGUAUCUUCUUGUCUUACAUUUGUUUAGAUAUGGAUGUACCUAAUACUAAAACGUGACUUCAUACAUCCGUAUUUGGACAAAUCUAAGACAAGAAUUUUGGGACGGAGGGAGUAGUAA